RNAcentral lists this ribosomal RNA (433 nucleotides) under uncultured bacterium. Its description in RNAcentral is "partial 16S ribosomal RNA". It matches the Rfam family "Bacterial small subunit ribosomal RNA", at positions 29 to 507 of the family's 1533-position model. The record is from RNAcentral.
AACGAACGCUGGCGGCAUGCCUAACACAUGCAAGUCGAACGAGACCUUCGGGUCUAGUGUCGCACGGGUGCGUAACGCGUGGGAACCUGCCCUUAGGUUCGGAAUAACUCCCCGAAAGGGGUGCUAACACCGGAUAAUGUCUUCGGACCAAAGAUUUAUCGCCUUUGGAUGGGCCCUCGUUGGAUUAGCUAGUUGGUAGGGUAAAAGCCUACCAAGGCGACGAUCCAUAGCUGGUCUGAGAGGAUGAUCAGCCACACUGGGACUGAGACACGGCCCAGACUCCUACGGGAGGCAGCAGUGGGGGAUAUUGGACAAUAGGCGGAAGCCUGAUGCAGCAAUGCCGCGAGAGUGAUGAAGGCCUUAGGGUUGUAAAGCUCUUUUACCCGGGAUGAUAAUGACAGUACCGGGAGAAUAAGCUCCGGCUAACUCCGUG